CAGGGAGCGGCUUUACCUAGCAGCCCUGGUGGGCGUUAGACACCGCGGGCGUGCGCUCACACUCACACACACACUCACACACACAAAGACAUGCGCUCACACUCACACACACGAUUAACAGGACUGAUAUUUCACCACCAACAACUACAACAACAACAACAACUGACACUGUCGGCGGUGAAAUGUCACUCCAGUUAAUCGUGUGUGUGAGUGAGUGGCCGAGAUUGUCGGUGGGGAAAAGGGAACAUAAACAUCGGGUUCAACUUUAACACCAGUGUCUGGAGCCUGGGACCCUGCACCUCCACAUUUAGGACUACUAGGUACACUCUGUUCCCCCCUUUUACACCCUGGGUUGAGCUCUGUCCUGCCCCCUCUUUAUUUACUAUGCAACACAUCCAUCUCCUCCACCGUAUGUGCUGAGUCUCUGCAUCAUGAACUUGUCUUCCCGUUAGGAGAGAGGUUGUAAUCUUAUGGUUUUUCAUUUAGUUAUGAUUAUGCAGUGCCAUUAUUAUUAUUAUUAUUAUUAUUCUUAUUCUUAUAGUUAUUAUCACAUGAACCGAUAGACAGAAAUGUCAACGUCUUUGGAUUCAUUAUGAGGAAACUAUUAAGGAGAUUACAAGAUUGCAAGUUUUAUUGGGGUAAAACCUUGAAGUGUCUGGAGAAAAUAUCAAAUGCAAAGACUACACAGUAUUGGCAAGGUAGAAUAGAUUAAUUUGGAGGUGAGAUUUUUAUAUCCAAUAAGCUUUACUUCUUUACAAUCUCACCCCUGAUUAGCAUUUUGUUAUUAUAUUGUUUUAUUGAAAGAAGCCUUUUUUUGACAACAUCAUUUCAGAUUUUCGUUGACGUUAAUGUCAGUGUGUGCAAAGCAGUCGUAUCCCCGUAUGUCUGACAUAUCUCACCCAUAAGUACAGAGUCAUUCUGUUACACCACUCAACUGAUGCUUUGUAUUUACCUGGUCCAACUUAUUGCCUACAAGAAAAUGACAUGUACCUGUAUGUAUUUACAGCAAGUGUUACAAGUUUAUAAUGUAUUUUUCUAUCUUAUUUUAUAUGUUAUUGAAAACACUGAAAUUACAUUAUUUCCAAAUUUGAACACAAACAAAGAAGAAAACAAAAUAUAUUCACAAAAAAAAUAAAUCCAACUCAAGUGCAAAUGUGAAGGUUCUUUUAAAAGGCAUUUGAUUUGCUUUAUGGUACAGACCUGGGACACUCCACAUGGAGCCUUAUCAUCAUGAAUAUUUUACUGAAAUACUUCCUUUGAAUUUUAAUUUUGUUUCGUUUUUAUUUUUACGUUGCUUGCAUUUUUACGUCUUUUUGUUGUAAAGUGUUCUUAUUAACCGAUAGUAUUAUUUUAAUAAAUAUGACUAUACAAAUGUA
This is a long non-coding RNA of Anguilla rostrata (American eel), 1376 nucleotides long. RefSeq lists it as uncharacterized. NCBI's taxonomy places the organism in Eukaryota, Metazoa, Chordata, Actinopteri, Anguilliformes, Anguillidae. The record is from RefSeq and is a predicted model, not a curated record. The transcript has 2 exons.